AGACCGAUAGCGAACAAGUAGAGUGAUCGAAAGAUGAAAAGCACUUUGGAAAGAGAGUCAAAUAGCACGUGAAAUUGUUGAAAGGGAAGCGCUUGCAGCCAGACUUGCCUGUAGUUGCUUAUCUGGACUUUUGUCCAGUGCACUCUUCUGCGGGCAGGCCAGCAUCAGUUUGGGCGGUUGGAUAAAGGUCUCUGUCAUGUACCUCCUUUCGGGGAGGCCUUAUAGGGGAGACGACAUGCAACCAGCCUGGACUGAGGUCCGCGCAUCUGCUAGGAUGCUGGCGUAAUGGCUGUAAGCGGCCCGUCUUGAAACACGGACCAAG
RNAcentral lists this ribosomal RNA (322 nucleotides) under Parastagonospora avenae f. sp. tritici. RNAcentral describes it as "eukaryotic LSU rRNA". It matches the Rfam family "Eukaryotic large subunit ribosomal RNA", at positions 331 to 670 of the family's 3401-position model. The record is from RNAcentral. RNAcentral also lists the same sequence under 1 other name. Lineage: Eukaryota; Fungi; Ascomycota; Dothideomycetes; Pleosporales; Phaeosphaeriaceae.